AAAAAAUUAGUUAAAUUUAUAACAUUAGUAUGUCAAACUAAAAUUAUUAAUCAAUCAUUUAAUAUUUUUUA
This 71-nucleotide transfer RNA is filed under the name Philophylla fossata. RNAcentral describes it as "tRNA-Asp". The record is from RNAcentral. Lineage: Eukaryota; Metazoa; Arthropoda; Insecta; Diptera; Tephritidae.